RNAcentral lists this ribosomal RNA (102 nucleotides) under Paenibacillus sp. S150. The record is from RNAcentral. Lineage: Bacteria; Bacillati; Bacillota; Bacilli; Caryophanales; Paenibacillaceae.
GGAGGGGUUCCACGCGUACCCAUCCCGAACACGACCGUUAAGCCCUCCAGCGCCGAUGGUACUUGGACCGAAGGGUCCCGGGAGAGUAGGACGCCGCCAAGC